RNAcentral lists this unclassified non-coding RNA (34 nucleotides) under Mus musculus (house mouse). RNAcentral describes it as "oocyte_clustered_small_RNA12857". The record is from RNAcentral. Lineage: Eukaryota; Metazoa; Chordata; Mammalia; Rodentia; Muridae.
UACUUUCUCUAGCUCCUCCAGUUGGGGGCCCUGU